RNA transcript from Prunus avium (sweet cherry), 1817 nucleotides. It is a transcript of the gene named cytochrome P450 714C2-like, with no coding region annotated. Lineage: Eukaryota; Viridiplantae; Streptophyta; Magnoliopsida; Rosales; Rosaceae. The record is from RefSeq and is a predicted model, not a curated record.
AUGAAUAACCCAUUAAUUAGUGAAAAGAAGUUGAUGAUCACACUUUAUUUGUCCUUUCCAAAGCUACUAACCAAAACAAGGGGUGUUAGGUGUAAGGAGAAUCAGAAGAGGCCAAAAAGAGACAAUGCUAUAGGUCCAUUCAAAGAUUUUAGCAUCAAUGUGUUGUUAGGUGGGUUUGUGCUAAUGCUAUUUUACCUCUAUGAGUCUUUGUCUUUAGUUUUAAAGCAAAAGAGGCUAAGAUCAAAGCUCGAGAAGCAAGGGAUCAGAGGGCCUUCUCCUUCCUCAAUUCUCUUGGGAAAUAUCCCAGAAAUGAAGAGGAUGGUCAAACUCGAGGUGAUGAAAUCAAAGGACCGCCAUCUUUCCAUUGCUCAUGAUUGGCCUCAAAGCUGUUCCCUUAUCUGCUCCAGUGGGGAAAUGAAUAUGGGCCAAAUUUCACCUAUUUAAGUGGAAGCAUACAGCAAUUAGCAGUGAUAGAUUUGAACCUAGGGAAGCCUGGCUAUGUAUCUAAGGAUCGCAAGUCACUUUUCGGUCAAGGCAUUAUAGCUGCAAAUGGCCCAAUUUGGUACCACCAAAGGAAGAUUAUUGCCCCUGAGUUCUACUUUGAUAGGGUUAAGGGUAUGGUGGAGUUGAUGGUGGACUGUACAACCACCAUGUUAAGAUCUUGGGAGAGUAAAAUCGAAGGCGAGGGAGGAAUUGCAGUCUUUGGAGUUGAUGAGGAUUUGAGAAGCUUUUCAGCAGAUAUAAUAUCAAGAACAUCCUUUGGAAGUAAUUAUUCACAAGGCAAAGAAAUUUUCUUAAAGCUCAGAACUCUUCAGAAAAUCAUGUACCAGGGACACAUUGGGGUUCCAGGUGUAAGAUACUUGGCAACCAAAAACAACAGAGAGAUUUGGAGAUUAGAGAAAGAGAUCCACUCAAUGAUAUUAAGGGUAGCGAAGCAACGCAGUGCUGAGGCAACUUAUGAAAAGGACCUUCUCCAAAUGAUUAUCGAGGGAGCCAAAAAUUAUGGAGAUACUGACAGCCUAUUUUCAGGCAUCUCCCAGGAUAAUUUCAUAGUGGAUAAUUGUAAGAGUAUGUACUUUGCUGGCCACGAAACCACUGCCAUCACAGCAUCAUGGAGCUUGAUGUUACUAGCUGCAUAUCCAGAGUGGCAAGCUCGUGCCCGUGCUGAGGUACUUGGAAUUUGCAUGGAUCGCAUUCCAGAUGCUGAUAUGCUCCGAAGCAUGAGAAUAUUGAAUAUGGUGAUUCAAGAAGCCUUGCGCUUGUACGCGCCGUCAAUGUUUGUUGGAAGAGAAGCCUUGGACGAUAUUGAGCUUAACGGCAUUCUAAUUCCCAAAGGAACAAACAUGAAGAUUCCAAUCCCAAUACUGCACCGGCUGCCUGAUAUCUGGGGGCCUGAUGCCCUUGACUUCAAUCCAAAAAGAUUUGAGCAUGGAAUUCUUGGGGCUUGCAAGUUUCCUCAGGCUUAUAUGCCAUUUGGAGUUGGUGCUCGAAUUUGUCUUGGCCAACACUUAGCCAUGACAGAAUUGAAGGUGAUUUUGUCUCUUAUUUUAUCCAAGUUUUGCUUCACACUCUCCCCUGCAUACCAACACUGCCCAACUGCUAGUAUGGUUAUUGAACCUGAACAUGGAGUAAGUCUCCAAGUGAGGAGAGUGUGAUACUAGUUCUGUAAUAGCAUGUUGUGGACGGCCGACUUUAUCAUUGCGCAUAUAUAUUGGCAAUUUUUAACCUGUGUUUCACUGUGAACAUUGAAAAGAAAUAUGAAGGAAGAGGUCUUUUUGUUUCAUUCUUCUUACUUGUAAGCUAGAUGUAAGAUGCAA